UCUAUUCUUGCUAAGUUUAGUUGAAUAUUUGCAUGAAAAUCAUAUAAUGAAUCAUUUACUAGUCAUUGUGUUUAUUUUGCAGAAAAGUGCGACAAGGCACGAAAUCCUUCUACUACAAAUGAUCAAGUGAUGGACCCGAGCGAGAAGAAAGAAGUUACCAGGGGCAAGCUAAAGAAGUGGGAGGAUCUUCUUGUGAAGAAAGAAGAAGAGGAAGAGGGCUAAUGUGCAAAAGUGGCAGAUCAGAUGGGGAACAAAAUCCCUAGCGGCUCCCUUCGAUCUCUUCGGGCCUGGACAUCUCUCUCUCUCCCCCGCCUCCUUCUCCACCUCGGCCGCCGCCGCGGCCAGGCCGGCGUGGCGGCGCGCCACCGCGCGACUCCCCUUACCUCUGCUGCAGCUCUUCUUCCCCAUCGCCAACCUGCGGCUGCUUCUUCUUCCCACGCCCCUGCUGCUGCUUGCUCUCUCAAUCUCUGCUACUACUUCUCCUUCCCUCCGCUGCUUGCUGCUUCUCCUUCUUCUUCAACCUGCUGCUGCUCGCCCUCAACCUCCCUCUGCUGCAGCUCUUCUCUAAGCCCUCAUGCCCCUGCUGCUCUUCACUAACUCCACGUUCUUGCUGCUCCUCUUCUCCUAAUCUUGUUGUUGCUCUUCCUGAACCCCUGCUGCUGCUCCUUCUCUCCUCCACCUCUUGCUGCUGCUUCUCUCUGAACCGAACUGCUGCUGCUCCCUCUCCCACGAACCUGCUGCUGCUCCUCUCUCCCUGAUGCCCCUACUUCUUCUCUGAAUUCCAAACUGUUGUUGUUCUUUGUCUCUCCCCCUCUCUGUGUGUGAGUGAGUGUGUGCGUGUGCGUGCGUGUGUGUGUGUAUGUGUGUGUAAUUUCUGUGAACAAUUAGAGUGGAGACUUGAUAGAUUGUACUCUGUUUUACACUAUUUCAAUAUAUGUGAAUCGCCCGUUCGUUAUUUGUCUGUUACAUUCAGGUUACUAGUUGCGAAUCUUGUGUUGUAAUUGUUCAUUGUGAAGUCAGAUGUAUGAACAUGUUUGAUUCUUUGUCCCUGUGAUAGGUUCCAGUAUAUGCGUUUCUUUUAUGUUGUCUCAAUUUCUUGUGAUAUACAUGAUAGUGAUAUGAACCAUUUCUGUUCCUGUCUUACAAUCUUGCAUUAGACCUUUUCUUACUUUCUAGCUUUUAUAUUAUAUUUGAAGUCUGCUUGUGUUAGCAUUUUUAUUUCUCAAGUAAAACAGAAAACACCUAAAAUAUAGUGAAGACAAUCUUGUUCUCUUUUGCUUGUUCGCAUUCUCUUAGUCGGCGAUCUUCAGGAAUAACCUUGUUAGUUUAGGUUUUAUUUUCCGCUUUCAUCACCCAAUAUCGUGUUACCUAGCUUUAGCCGAAUAUAGUUGCUGUCGCCUAGUCCCUGUGGAGAACACGACACUCACAGAAUGGGGCGUUAAAACCCCAUUGUACCUACAACUGAUCAUUUUGGCGUCGUUGCCGGGGACUAGCGUCGUGCGACCGUGUUAGGCUAUAGACUAGGUUUUGCUUCUGUUUCUAUCUGGUGCCAUAUAUUUGUGAUAUAUCUCUUACCCCUAACCACUGUUCUAGUUAUCUUCUCUUUCUUUUCUUGUUCAUUUUGUAGGUUGAAUUGUCUUCUUGGAAAUGGCAUUCUACUGAGAUCAUCAUGCUUAUGCGAGCAACACUCCAAACAGCACGGAAAGUAUUCAAGAACUGAUAAGUAAGAUUUCCCAUCGAUUAGAUGAUUUAGCUCGGCAGCGAGAAGUAGUUUUUGAGGAUAGGCCUAGCUCUUAUGAUCCUUAUUCUAGAGGCCAUCCUUAUGUUGCUCCUACCUGCCAUAUUUGUGGAUUUCAGGGCCAUUCGCCCACUGAAUGUCAGAGUGGUUAGUCUCACCCUCCAGAUUGUUUUGGUAUGAACUUUGCUCAACAGCAUGGCUCAUGCCAAAACAAUUACUCAUAUGGGUGGCUGAAAACCAGAGUAUGUCAUAUAGGAGCAACAACCUUGAGAUCUCAUCGUUUGCUUCUAGUAAUCAUAUGCAGGGAAUUAAGUACAAUGAGGAGAGCCACAACUAUGUACCACCACAAUUUUAUUCACCUCCUACUCAUAUACCUCAACACCAGGAGAUGUUGCCAAUGGAGUUAAAUGGUCCUCCAUUUGGUCAACCAACACCUUCAACACAAGUGCCUACUCAAGAUGAGUUCGAUGACAUAGAAAAAGCUCGCACUUUUGAGUCUCGAGUUCACUUGGAGUGCCGAGGAUGAUCCUAUUAGGCCGGUGAUACUAGAUGAAAUGAAGAAGAUCAAGAGUGGGAAUGAGCUAGUGGAAGAAGUAAGGAAGAUUGAGAAGAACAUCAACGCUGGCAGCACUAUCUCUUCACAGCUAGAGCUGAGAAUUUCUGGGAUAUCCCUUGAUACAUGUGAGGUUCCAACACCUUCACAUUCAGCUGAGCAAGAUAGCGAGAGUCCAGAGGAAGAGAUACUUCAGAUCCAAGAAGAAAUUCUCGAAGCCAAGGCACAAGAUGAUCCAGAGCUCGAAUACACAAAUGAACAAGUUGAAGAUCCAAUGUCUAUCUCUUCCGAAGAAGUAGAAGAAGCUGCUGUAGAUGAAGAACCUGAGAUUCAUUUGCCUAUUGUCAUACAAGAGUGUGAUGUGUCAGGUUCAUCCAAUCCUCUUAAUGACAUGUCUCAUUAUGUUUUGUUUGAUUCUGUUAGACCUUUCAGUCUGAGCAUUUCAUAGUUGUGGAUGACACUAGGAGAGUUGGGACAAUUUUCGUUGGUUUAUUUCUCACACAAUGCCAUUCCAACCUGAGGGGUUGGGGAUACAUACUUAUAGGCUGCUAGCCAGCCAAGCAUAUGCUAAGAUGCUAGUCUAAGAUGCUGCUAAGAUGCCAGUCUAAGAUGCUAGUCUAAGAUGCUAUCCUAACUGCCAGUCCUUGAUGGCCAGGGAUUCUAUCCUAACUGCCACAAGGACCAUGUGCUGCAGCCAAAGGACCAUGUGCUGCAGCCCCACAAAGACCUUAGUACAUAGACUUAUCCAUCAUCCUCCCCCUAAGUCUUGUACGUCGUUUUGUGGGAGGGUUGAAUCAUCCCGAUCCUGGAGCAGAGUGCGAGGAACUUGAUCCUCCCAAGAGGCUUGGUGAGCAGGUCUGCGAGCUGGUCCGUGGUGUUGAUGUAGCUCGCCUCGAUGCUCCCUUCUUCCACACAGCUGCGAAUGAAGUGGUACCUCAGUCGGAUGUGCUUGCCCCGUUCGUGGAAAACGGGGUUCUUUGCCAGGGCCAGGGCGGACUUGCUGUCCACCAGGAGCUGCACCGUUCUGGUGUCUUGAACAAGAUCACCAAGCAGUCGAGCGAGCCAGAGUGCCUGAGUGCAGGCGGUGGAGGCCGCUAUGUACUCAGCCUCACAGCUGGACAGGGCCACCACCUGCUGCUUGACUGAUUGCCAGCUCACGAGAUACUUGCCGAGGAAGAAGAGGAUCCCGCUCGUGCUCUUGCUGGUGUCGAUGUCGAUGAGCCCGGGGUGGUGACUGCCGGGGCUGGAGUGUGCGGCGUCGCCGGUUGUGGUGCCGUCGGCGUAGCAGGCACCGGAGUCGAUGUGGUUUUGGGGGCCGGGGUAGGCGUGCCCGGCGACGAGGAGCUGGUUGCUCCCCCGGCUUCUUUGAAGUGGACGUACUCGACAAUGAAGUCGUCGUAUGUCGGCGUCGAGCCGUCGUCCACCGCCUUGUCCCAUUGCCACCCUCGCCCUUCGUUGAACACGACGUCUCGCGCCGUGCGCACACGCUGUGUCUUUGGGUUGAGGAUGCGGUAGGCCUUUGAGCCCUCCGCGUAGCCGAUGAAGACUCCCGGAGUGCUCCUGUCGUCGAGCUUGCCGAUGUGACCGAGCUCCUUGGCGAACGCAAGGCAGCCAAAGACCCGCAAGUGGGAGACCGCCGGCUUCCGCCCAUGCCAGGCCUCGUACGGUGUCCUGCCGUCGAGUGCCUUGGUAGGCGAGCGGUUUAGGAUGUAGACGGCUGUUAGCACCGCCUCUCCCCAGAAGACAGCCGGCAUCCCUCUCUACUUGAGGAGAGCUCGAGCCAUCCCCACAACCGUCUGGUUGCGCCGCUCGACGACGCCGUUUUGCUGCGGGCUGUACGGCGCGGAGUAGUGGCGCUGGAUGCCCUCAUCGGCGCAGUACGACGCGAAUUCAGCCGCCGUGAAUUCGCCGCCGUUGUCAGUGCGCAACACGCGCAAUUUGCGGCCGCUCUCCGCCUCCACACCAACCUGCGCGCGCCUGAUGGCGUCCGCCGCCUCUCCCUUACUGCCGAGGAUCAUCACCCACAUGUAACGGGAGAGAUCGUCGACGGGCAGCAGGAAGUAGCGUCGACCUCCUGGUGUGGCUGGCGUCACCGGGCCGCACAGGUCUCCGUGCACGAGCUCCAGCCUCUCCUUGGCCCGAAAACUCGCCUGUUGGGGAAAGGGGAGUCGUCUUUGCUUCGUCAUCACGCAGAUGUCGCAGAACUGCUCCACAUGGUCGAGGCAUGGCAGGCCUCGCACCAUCUCCUUGGCACUUAGACGCUUCAGGGCCUCAAAAUGAAGGUGCCCAAAGCGCUCAUGCCAUUGCCACGCCUCGUCGUCCCGACGGACAGCGAGACAGACCGGUUGUGCCACCUGCACAUCAAGGACGUAAACUCGAUUUCCACCUCUGGGUACCUUGGCGAGAAGGCGACCCUGGCGAUCCCAGAUGCGUAGGACCCCAUGCUCAAUCAGCACGCGUGAGCCGUUCUCAUCCAGCUGUCCCAAGCUGAUGAUGGAGUUCCUUAGCGCGGGGAUGUAGUAGACACCGGUGAGCAGCCGGUGCUCUCCCGCCUUGGUGGUGAAGAUGACGGAGCCGACGCCCUUAAUUUCCACAGCGGAGGCAUCCCCAAACUUGACGGAGCCUCGCGCAUCGGAGUCGAGCUCGGCGAAGAAUUCCCUUCGACCGGUCAUGUGGUGGGUGGCGCCGGUGUCGAGGCACCACCCCGUAGUCUUGUCCUUCCCGGAGCCAUCGCCGAGAAGAGCGUGCGCUUUUGGCUCGUCGAGGUGGACGAGAGCUUUUGCGACUGGUGUCGCUGAGGAUAGCUCAAUGCUUGCAUGCGCCAUGAACAGAGCCGUCUCUUCCUCCUUCGCCUGUGCGACGUGAGCCUGGCCUUGUCGUGGUUGCCGACACAUUGGCCCAAUGGCCAAACCGGCCAUAGUUGUGGCAACUGUUGUCUUGUGCCGGCUUGGGCUUGCCAGCGGCGCCGUCCUUGGCGCCUCCGCGGNNNNNNNNNNNNNNNNNNNNNNNNNNNNNNNNNNNNNNNNNNNNNNNNNNNNNNNNNNNNNNNNNNNNNNNNNNNNNNNNNNNNNNNNNNNNNNNNNNNNNNNNNNNNNNNNNNNNNNNNNNNNNNNNNNNNNNNNNNNNNNNNNNNNNNNNNNNNNNNNNNNNNNNNNNNNNNNNNNNNNNNNNNNNNNNNNNNNNNNNNNNNNNNNNNNNNNNNNNNNNNNNNNNNNNNNNNNNNNNNNNNNNNNNNNNNNNNNNNNNNNNNNNNNNNNNNNNNNNNNNNNNNNNNNNNNNNNNNNNNNNNNNNNNNNNNNNNNNCGCGUCUUAUGCUGCUUGCCACGCUUGCGGCCGCCCGUCGUGGAAGAAGGCUCCCCCUUCUUCCUGUCACCAAGGCUGGGAUCCCACUGCUCCCGAGUUAGGAGCAGCUUCCCGCCGGUGGUGAUGGGCCCCGAGGGAGGCUGUGGUUCAUCGGUGUCGACGACCUUGAGACGGCCUAUCGCCUCCUCGAUCGUCAUCGUGGAGAGGUCCAGCGACGACUCGAUCGAGCGAGCCAUCUGCUUGUACUUCUCGGGAAUGCACCGAAAAAGCUUCUCGACAGCUCUCUCCUCGGUGUAGGUGGCAUCGCCAAACUUCACCAUCUUGUGCAGCAGAGUGUUGAGACGGAGAGCAAAGUCAUCAACGUCCUCACCUGGCUUGAAAGCCAGGCUCUCCCACUCCUUACGAAGUGCCUGCAGAGUGGACUUGCGAGCACGGUCACUGCCGAUGCGUGCUGCGGCGAUGGCGUCCCAAGCCUCCUUGGCAGUCCGCUUGUUGGAAAGCGAGAACUGCAUCUCGGGCGGGACUGUGGCGAUGAGGGCGUCCAGCGCCCGUCGAUCCUCUAGGUGGUCGACGUUGCUGUCCUGGACUGCCUCCCACAUGCGCCGCACCUGGAGCCUGACCUUCAUGAUCCCGGCCCACUCGACGUAGUUGGUUUUAGUGAGGGUAGGCCACCCAACACUGGGACCAACAUCCCUGACCACAGUCCGGACCUCGUGGAGGCCGCGGUCCUGGUCGUUGCAGCCGCCGUCGCGGUGCGCGCCUCCACCUGGAGCGCGGGCGUGCUCGGCUGCCCACUGCGCUGUCCGCUCCUGCGCCACUUUGGCGCGAUCUGCGUCGGCGCCGUCAUCCGCAGGCGCGGAGCUGCUGGAGCUGCCGGGGCCGCCGCGGAGUGGCUUGGCAUCCGCCGUAGCCUCACGGGCUGCUUCUGCUGCUGCUGCUGCUGCUUCUACCUCCGCCCUGGCUGCUUCUACCUCCGCUCUGGCUGCUGCCAGCUCCUCUGCAGCCAGCCUCGACACCCUUGCCGCCGCAGCAGCUGCUGCUACAGCCGCUCGCUCACGCUCCUCUGCCACGGCGCGCUCGGCCUCCUGCUGGCGCCGCAUGCUCGAGGUAGCCGUGUGCUGAGAGCGACCUGCAGACAUGGCUCGCUGCAGGGGGGCUGUUGCGUGAAGAAGAGGCUGUUGUUGCCGAGCCGCUGCUCGACAGUCCAGAGGGAGGGAGGUAACCAGAGGCAGACGGAGCAACUGCUGCUACCGACUUGGGUUGCUCAGCUCCCGGUGAGGGAGGUAAGCAGGAAAUGCUCAGGGUACAAGAUAACCUGGCUCUGAUACCACUUGUUAGACCUUUCAGUCUGAGCAUUUCAUAGUUGUGGAUGACACUAGGAGAGUUGGGACAAUUUUCGUUGGUUUAUUUCUCACACAAUGCCAUGCCAACCUGAGGGGUUGGGGAUACAUACUUAUAGGCUGCUAGCCAGCCAAGCAUAUGCUAAGAUGCUAGUCUAAGAUGCUGCUAAGAUGCCAGUCUAAGAUGCUAGUCUAAGAUGCUGCUAAGAUGCCAGUCUAAGAUGCUAGUCUAAGAUGCUAUCCUAACUGCCAGUCCUUGAUGGCCAGGGAUUCUAUCCUAACUGCCACAAGGACCAUGUGCUGCAGCCCCACAAAGACCUUAGUACAUAGACUUAUCCAUCAGAUUCUACCUUGUUUUACAUGAUGCAAUCACUUAAGCUAGACUUGAAAAACUGUUUGCUUGGACAUGAUCAUACAUACCAUGUUAUUGGCAUUUCUCUCAUUUAUGAUGAUGACACUUAUUUUCCUCAUGCUAGACCUAUGCUUAAUGAAACAUCUCAUUCUCAUGCUAGUCUGGAGGUUAAUGAUUCACAUCAUCCUUAUGCUAGCAUGGAGCUUACUGAUUUAUACCAUCCUAAACAUGUGCUUUAUAGCUAUGCUUAUGUAAUUGGGUAUUCGAUUGGUGAUUUAGAGGGCAUCGACCCUGUCACUUGUAUUGUCUCUUUGGUGAGUUCUUUUUCAGGUUUUUGCAUGUGCACCAUUCAAUAUAUGCUGACCAGGUUCGAGGUGACAUUCCUUGGGACCCCGGUGGAUUCAGAGCAUGGUGAAGGGGGGAAGCAAUGGACACACGAAGAAGAGAGAAGCUGGAGCUUGCAAGUGGAAGCAAAAGGAGAAGAGCUGCAGUUCAAAGAGUGAUUGUGCGAGACCUACAUCAUAUAAGCCCGGUGAGCUGUUUCAUGACCCCAAUCUGAAUAUAUCAUCCAUUGAUAAUGCUGAAAUCAUUUGAUAUUUGAGUUGCUUAAGCCAUUUCUUAAAUGAUGUCCCACUAAAUUUUACCUUUGACAUAUGGUGCUUGAUGUGAAUAUGUGAACUGAAUUGUGAAUGCCUUGUAGACUAGUGAUCUACAUAGUGCUUGCUUUGCUGAAAUUAGUGAAAGUUAUUAGUUUUGAGUGCUCAAAUCCCUAGUACACUAGAAAGCUCCAUCAUUUUCUGCAUUUACUUUGAUACACCUAGAUCAUCAAGUGUUAGAUGCUGAAUUUGUGCCAAGUGUGUUCCCAUUCAGAGCAAUCACUUAACCACUAUGGAUUAGCAUGCUAUGUUCUCUGGAUCGGUAGCAUGUGAACCAGACAUGGAUGAGUGAUGAUUCUUGUUUCCUUCCUUAUGUUUCAUGCCAUUGUAAUUCCUUUGUUCAAUAUGUAAUAAUGAAUAUAAGUCUAGUCUACCUAUAGUAGCAUGUCAUGUUCCCUGGAUCGGUGGCAUGUGAAAUCUGGUAGCUUGGACAGUAAUGAAUUAAUAAUAAAAAUGUAAUUGUCGAAACAGGUGUAUACCAUGUUCUCUGGAUCGGUGGUAUGUUCCUUUGGGGAGACAAUUAAAAAAAACCUAACAAUUGGUCGAGGCAGGUGUAUACCAUGUUCUCGGGAUCGGUGGUAUGUUCCUUUGGUGAGAUCGAUAAUAUAUUAUCAAGCGAGUUUCAAUUUUAAUAAGUGGUUCUACCAUAAUGUUAUGUUCCUAGUAAUAGGUGUCUCUUGGGAUCAUGCUCUCUUUAGGAACCUUUUGGCACAAUCAGCAUUUGAACUUGUUAAUCUUCUUUUAUCAUUGUAAAAGUUUAAAUUGAUUGAGUUUACUAGUGUCCUAUUGCUUUGUAGCACUCCUAACCAUUAAUUUUCACUAACCAAGUCUGAAGCAUGCACUGUUUAGAGAUCUACUUCACUUGGACAUUCUCUAGUCAGCUCACUAUUCACUAUCUAGCUCUUGUCAUAUUCCUUUACUUGAGGACAAGUAAAGAUUUAAGUGUGGGGGAACUUGAUAAGCACAUUUCAUAUACAUAAUUUUGGCAUUGAAUUAUACCAUUCGUUGAGUUAUGCCCAUCUAUUCUUGCUAAGUUUAGUUGAAUAUUUGCAUGAAAAUCAUAUAAUGAAUCAUUUACUAGUCAUUGUGUUUAUUUUGCAGAAAAGUGCGACAAGGCACAAAAUCCUUCUACUACAAAUGAUCAAGCGAUGGACCCGAGCGAGAAGAAAAGAAGUUACCAGGGGCAAGCUAAAGAAGUGGGAGGAUCUUCUUGUGAAGAAAGAAGAAGAGGAAGAGGGCUAAUGUGCAAAAGUGGCAGAUUAGAUGGGGAACAAAAUCCCUAGCGGCUCCCUUCGAUCUCUUCGGGCCUGGACAUCUCUCUCUCUCCCGCCUCCUUCUCCACCUCGGCCGCCGCCGCGGCCAGGCCGACGUGGCGGCGCGCCACCGCGCGACUCCCCUUACCUCUGCUGCUCUCUUCUUCCCCAUCGCCAACCUGCGGCUGCUUCUUCUUCCCACGCCCCUGCUGCUGCUUGCUCUCUCAAUCUCUGCUACUACUUCUCCUUCCCUCCGCUGCUUGCUACUUCUCCUUCUUCAACCUACUGCUGCUCGCCCUCAACCUCCCUCUGCUGCAGCUCUUCUCUAAGCCCUCAUGACCCUGCUGCUCUUCCCUAACUCCACGUUCCUGCUGCUCCUCUUCUCCUAAUCUUGUUGUUGCUCUUCCUGAACCCUUGCUGCUGCUCCUUCUCUCCUCCACCUCUUGCUGCUGCUUCUCUCUGAACCGAACUGCUGCUGCUCCCUCUCCCACGAACCUGCUGCUGCUCCUCUCUCCCUGAUGCCCCUACUUCUUCUCUGAAUUCCAAACUGUUGCUGUUCUUUGUCUCUCCCCCUCUUUGUGUGUGAGUGAGUGUGUGCGUGUGCGUGCGUGUGUGUGUGUAAUUUCUGUGAACAAUUAGAGUGGAGACUUGAUAGAUUGUACUCUGUUUUACACUAUUUCAAUAUAUGUGAAUCACCCAUUCAUUAUUUGUCUGUUACAUUCAGGUUACUUACUAGUUGCGAAUCUUGUGUUGUAAUUGUUCAUUGUGAAGUCAGAUGUAUGAACAUGUUUGAUUCUUUGUCCCUGUGAUAGGUUCCAGUAUAUGGUUUCUUUUAUGUUGUCUCAAUUUCUUGUGAUAUACAUGAUAGUGAUAUGAACCAUUUCUAUUCCUGUCUUACAAUCUUGCACUAGACCUUUUCUUACUUCCUAGCUUUUAUAUUAUAUUUGAAGUCUGCUUGUGUUACCAUUUUUAUUUCUCAAGUAAAACGGAAAACAC
RNAcentral lists this long non-coding RNA (10191 nucleotides) under Triticum aestivum (bread wheat). RNAcentral's name for it is "long non-coding RNA (TAES_LNC024087)". The record is from RNAcentral. Lineage: Eukaryota; Viridiplantae; Streptophyta; Magnoliopsida; Poales; Poaceae.